CAAACGACUCUCGGCAACGGAUAUCUCUGCUCACGCAUCGAUGAAGAACGYAGCAAAAUGCGAUACUUGGUGUGAAUUGCAGAAUCCCGUGAACCAUCGAGUUUUUGAACGCAAGUUGCGCCCGAAGCCAUUUGGCCGAGGGCACGUCUGCCUGGGCGUCACGC
Molecule: ribosomal RNA, 164 nt
Filed under: Vittadinia eremaea
Lineage: Eukaryota; Viridiplantae; Streptophyta; Magnoliopsida; Asterales; Asteraceae
Description: 5.8S ribosomal RNA
Rfam family: 5.8S ribosomal RNA
About the family: 5.8S ribosomal RNA (5.8S rRNA) is a component of the large subunit of the eukaryotic ribosome. It is transcribed by RNA polymerase I as part of the 45S precursor that also contains 18S and 28S rRNA. Functionally, it is thought that 5.8S rRNA may be involved in ribosome translocation.
Source: RNAcentral